Molecule: long non-coding RNA, 232 nt
Organism: Arabidopsis thaliana (thale cress)
Lineage: Eukaryota; Viridiplantae; Streptophyta; Magnoliopsida; Brassicales; Brassicaceae
Product: other RNA
Exons: 1
Source: RefSeq
UCUUCCAAGUCGCAGCCCACUUGGAAUUUUAUACAAAUUUGAAUCUCACGAAACACAAGUCAGCAUUAUACGACUCUUUCCACCUUCUCUUCCUUCUUUAUUUUCUCCUCUUUUCUUUAAUCAUUUUCUACAUGAUGUGUAUUUAGGUUGGUGUUUUAUUUUGUGAAAUAUAGCUAAAACUGCAACUACAAAAAAAAGGUAUUUUUGAGAUGCACUUUGCUUCUUUAUCUCC